This 253-nucleotide ribosomal RNA is filed under the name uncultured bacterium. Its description in RNAcentral is "partial 16S ribosomal RNA". It matches the Rfam family "Bacterial small subunit ribosomal RNA", at positions 524 to 776 of the family's 1533-position model. The record is from RNAcentral.
UACGUAGGGUGCAAGCGUUGUCCGGAAUUAUUGGGCGUAAAGAGCUCGUAGGCGGCUUGUUGCGUCGGCUGUGAAAUCCCGGGGCUUAACUCCGGGCGUGCAGCCGAUACGGGCAGGCUAGAGUCCGGUAGGGGAGACUGGAAUUCCUGGUGUAGCGGUGAAAUGCGCAGAUAUCAGGAGGAACACCGGUGGCGAAGGCGGGUCUCUGGGCCGGUACUGACGCUGAGGCACGAAGGUCAGGGGAGCAAACGGG